AUUGAACGCUGGCGGCAGGCUUAACACAUGCAAGUCGAGCGGAGUGAUGGUGCUUGCACUAUCACUUAGCGGCGGACGGGUGAGUAAUGCUUAGGAAUCUGCCUAUUAGUGGGGGACAACAUUUCGAAAGGAAUGCUAAUACCGCAUGCGUCCUACGGGAGAAAGCAGGGGAUCUUCGGACCUUGCGCUAAUAGAUGAGCCUAAGUCGGAUUAGCUAGUUGGUGGGGUAAAGGCCUACCAAGGCGACGAUCUGUAGCGGGUCUGAGAGGAUGAUCCGCCACACUGGGACUGAGACGCGGCCCAGACUCCUACGGGAGGCAGCAGUGGGGAAUAUUGGACAAUGGGCGCAAGCCUGAUCCAGCCAUGCCGCGUGUGUGAAGAAGGCCUUAUGGUUGUAAAGCACUUUAAGCGAGGAGGAGGCUACUCUAGUUAAUACCUAGGGAUAGUGGACGUUACUCGCAGAAUAAGCACCGGCUAACUCUGUGCCAGCAGCCGCGGUAAUACAGAGGGUGCAAGCGUUAAUCGGAUUUACUGGGCGUAAAGCGCGCGUAGGCGGCUAAUUAAGUCAAAUGUGAAAUCCCCGAGCUUAACUUGGGAAUUGCAUUCGAUACUGGUUAGCUAGAGUGUGGGAGAGGAUGGUAGAAUUCCAGGUGUAGCGGUGAAAUGCGUAGAGAUCUGGAGGAAUACCGAUGGCGAAGGCAGCCAUCUGGCCUAACACUGACGCUGAGGUGCGAAAGCAUGGGGAGCAAACAGGAUUAGAUACCCUGGUAGUCCAUGCCGUAAACGAUGUCUACUAGCCGUUGGGGCCUUUGAGGCUUUAGUGGCGCAGCUAACGCGAUAAGUAGACCGCCUGGGGAGUACGGUCGCAAGACUAAAACUCAAAUGAAUUGACGGGGGCCCGCACAAGCGGUGGAGCAUGUGGUUUAAUUCGAUGCGACGCGAAGAACCUUACCUGGCCUUGACAUAGUAAGAACUUUCCAGAGAUGGAUUGGUGCCUUCGGGAACUUACAUACAGGUGCUGCAUGGCUGUCGUCAGCUCGUGUCGUGAGAUGUUGGGUUAAGUCCCGCAACGAGCGCAACCCUUUUCCUUAUUUGCCAGCGAGUAAUGUCGGGAACUUUAAGGAUACUGCCAGUGACAAACUGGAGGAAGGCGGGGACGACGUCAAGUCAUCAUGGCCCUUACGGCCAGGGCUACACACGUGCUACAAUGGUCGGUACAAAGGGUUGCUACCUAGCGAUAGGAUGCUAAUCUCAAAAAGCCGAUCGUAGUCCGGAUUGGAGUCUGCAACUCGACUCCAUGAAGUCGGAAUCGCUAGUAAUCGCGGAUCAGAAUGCCGCGGUGAAUACGUUCCCGGGCCU
This 1359-nucleotide ribosomal RNA is filed under the name uncultured bacterium. RNAcentral describes it as "bacterial SSU rRNA". It matches the Rfam family "Bacterial small subunit ribosomal RNA", at positions 28 to 1381 of the family's 1533-position model. The record is from RNAcentral.